UACGUAGGGUGCGAGCGUUGUCCGGAAUUAUUGGGCGUAAAGAGCUCGUAGGCGGUUUGUCACGUCUGCUGUGAAAUCCCGAGGCUCAACCUCGGGCCUGCAGUGAGUACGGGCAGACUGGAGUGCGGUAGGGGAGAAUGGAAUUCCUGGUGUAGCGGUGAAAUGCGCAGAUAUCAGGAGGAACACCGGUGGCGAAGGCGGGAUCCUGGGCCAGUACUGACGCUGAGGAGCGAAAGCGUGGGGAGCAAACAGG
RNAcentral lists this ribosomal RNA (253 nucleotides) under uncultured bacterium. RNAcentral describes it as "partial 16S ribosomal RNA". It matches the Rfam family "Bacterial small subunit ribosomal RNA", at positions 524 to 776 of the family's 1533-position model. The record is from RNAcentral.